GAUAAUAAAACAAAAUCCAAAUUUAUUAAAUAUAAUUAAGAGUACCUCAGGGGUAAAAAUGUAAGGAUAAAUGGUUCGUGCUCGAAGCUCAGCGGCAACAACGUUCCAGUCACGNNNNNNNNNNNNNNNNNUGUCCCCCAUCUACCCAUCACCUCCGUCCCCAUCAACGUACACGUGUACGUCCAGGAUUAAAAAUAAUAACCACUACCUUCCUUUUUGAAAUGAUAAUAACAACCUGCGCACCGGUUCACGUUAGCAAACGCCGCCUUGUUCAAAAUAAAAAAAUAAAAAAAUAAAAAAAAUCAACCACCAUCCUCUCCGGCAACAUUGAUAACCGGAAACGACGGCGUGAAAAUAAGGCUUACCGGUGUCGGAGGAUGAAAACUGAAAAAGCGGUUUUCCGGCGGGAAUUUCGGGGAAUGGUGGUUUUUGUUGGUUUAAGGUGGUUUUAUGAGGUUGUUUUUUUGUUGUAUAUAAAAGAAAAAGGUAAAUUAUUCUAUUCUAUUUGAAAGGUUAAACAACAACGAUGAAGAAGACAACAACAAGAACAACAAUAAUAACAUCAAAAUCAAAAGCUAAUAGGAAAAAAUAAUGAAUGGAUUAUGAUGAUGAACCAAUUGACAAUUGUGUUUUCCUAAUUACGGUUUUUUUUUUUUGUUUGUUUCUCUCUCUCUGGCCUAUUUUCUCUCUCUAUCUAUAAUGGUGGUUUAUAU
Molecule: long non-coding RNA, 713 nt
Filed under: Trifolium pratense (red clover)
Lineage: Eukaryota; Viridiplantae; Streptophyta; Magnoliopsida; Fabales; Fabaceae
Description: long non-coding RNA (TPRA_LNC010341)
Source: RNAcentral